CCUACGGGUGGCAGCAGUGAGGAAUAUUGGUCAAUGGGCGCGAGCCUGAACCAGCCAAGUCGCGUGAGGGAAGACGGUCCUAUGGAUUGUAAACCUCUUUUGUCGGGGAGCAACAGACGCCACGCGUGGCGUUCCGAGAGUACCCGAAGAAAAAGCAUCGGCUAACUCCGUGCCAGCAGCCGCGGUAAUCAGGAAGAUGCGAGCGUUAUCCGGAUUUAUUGGGUUGAAAGGGUGCGAAGGCGGAAGAUCAAGUCAGCGGUAAAAUUGAAAGGCUCAACCUCUUCGAGCCGUUGAAACUGGUGUUCUUGAGUGAGCGAGAAGUAUGCGGAAUGCGUGGUGUAGCGGUGAAAUGCAUAGAUAUCACGCAGAACUCCGAUUGCGAAGGCAGCAUACCGGCGCUCAACUGACGCUCAUGCACGAAAGUGUGGGUAUCGAACAGGAUUAGAUACCCUUGUAGUC
Molecule: ribosomal RNA, 459 nt
Filed under: uncultured bacterium
Lineage: Bacteria
Description: partial 16S ribosomal RNA
Rfam family: Bacterial small subunit ribosomal RNA
Source: RNAcentral